Molecule: ribosomal RNA, 245 nt
Filed under: uncultured archaeon
Lineage: Archaea
Description: partial 16S ribosomal RNA
Rfam family: Archaeal small subunit ribosomal RNA
Source: RNAcentral
CCCCAGCGCCACGAGUGGGAAUCGCGUUUAUUUGGCCUAAAGCAUCCGUAGCUGGUUUUGUAAAUUUCUUGUGAAAUUGUUAGACUCAAUCUAACAGCGUGCAGGGAACACUGCAUAACUAGGGACCGGGAGGAGUUAGGAGUAUGCUAUGGGGAGCGGUAAAAUGCUAUAAUCCAUGGUAGACUACCUGUGGCGAAGGCGCCUAACUAGAACGGGUCCGACAGUGAGGGAUGAAAGCCAGGGGA